This 310-nucleotide ribosomal RNA is filed under the name uncultured Moryella sp. RNAcentral's name for it is "bacterial SSU rRNA". It matches the Rfam family "Bacterial small subunit ribosomal RNA", at positions 28 to 339 of the family's 1533-position model. Lineage: Bacteria; Bacillati; Bacillota; Clostridia; Lachnospirales; Lachnospiraceae. The record is from RNAcentral.
GAUGAACGCUGGCGGCGUGCCUAACACAUGCAAGUCGAGCGGAGUCAAGUUUUCGGAUUUGACUUAGCGGCGGAUGGGUGAGUAACACGUGGGUAACCUGCCCUGCACUGGGGGAUAACAGCUGGAAACGACUGUUAAUACCGCAUAAGACCACAGCACCGCAUGGUGCAGGGGUAAAAACUCCGGUGGUACAGGAUGGACCCGCGUCCAAUUAGCUAGUUGGUGAGGUAACGGCCCACCAAGGCGACGAUUGGUAGCCGAUCUGAGAGGAUGACCGGCCACAUUGGGACUGAGACACGGCCCAAACUCC